ACUCCUACGGGAGGCAGCAGUGGGGAAUUUUGGACAAUGGGCGAAAGCCUGAUCCAGCAAUGCCGCGUGAGUGAAGAAGGCCUUCGGGUUGUAAAGCUCUUUUGUCAGGGAAGAAACGGUGAAAGCUAAUAUCUUUUGCUAAUGACGGUACCUGAAGAAUAAGCACCGGCUAACUACGUGCCAGCAGCCGCGGUAAUACGUAGGGUGCAAGCGUUAAUCGGAAUUACUGGGCGUAAAGCGUGCGCAGGCGGUUUUGUAAGUCUGAUGUGAAAUCCCCGGGCUCAACCUGGGAAUUGCAUUGGAGACUGCAAGGCUAGAAUCUGGCAGAGGGGGGUAGAAUUCCACGUGUAGCAGUGAAAUGCGUAGAUAUGUGGAGGAACACCGAUGGCGAAGGCAGCCCCCUGGGUCAAGAUUGACGCUCAUGCACGAAAGCGUGGGGAGCAAACAGGAUUAGAAACCCCGGUAGUCCUAUG
Molecule: ribosomal RNA, 473 nt
Filed under: uncultured organism
Description: partial 16S ribosomal RNA
Rfam family: Bacterial small subunit ribosomal RNA
Source: RNAcentral